This 1274-nucleotide long non-coding RNA is filed under the name Corvus moneduloides (New Caledonian crow). RNAcentral's name for it is "lncRNA (ENSCMUG00000018978.1)". Lineage: Eukaryota; Metazoa; Chordata; Aves; Passeriformes; Corvidae. The record is from RNAcentral.
AAGCGGUGCCGGGGCCGGGGGGGUGUUUCGGGUUUUGUUUUGGAGCCGGGAAGCCGGGAAGCCGGGAGCGCCGCCAACGAGCAGACCCCGGCGGACGGGGGCAGAGUCGCGGUGCGGGUGAGAAUCCCGGUGCGGGGAGACCCCGUCCUGCCCUGCCUGCUGCCAUCCCCCCUCCGCCGCUCCUUGGAGAGUCGUGCCCGAAGCCCAACUUUCCAGCCCGCCCGCCGGCCCCAGCAUGAACCAGACGGCCGGGGUGAGCAACCACGUCCGCUGCUCCGGCAAGGGCUCCAAGGGGUGACCCCUUCGGGCUGCGAGCCGGGAGGGUGCUGGACCGGGCGCUCAGGGUGCUGUAGCCUCAUAGCUUCAAGUGCUGGAACGGUCGGAACUCGUGCACCUGCUUCAAACGGGAUAAAAUGCUUUGAAGGUUCCUUUCACAGUGCACUGCAGAGGGAAAAAGAAAAGAGAAGACAUGGAGAGAUUUUAUAUGCUAAGGAGGGUACUUCAGACAGAGGCAAUUAACUGGUGCUGUACAGCUCAUACAAGAAAAUCAGGAGAUGUGAACUGAAGAUCGCUUUGUAAAUGUGGUUAACAGGCGGAGCUUGAAAGCCUCCUGCAGCAGCAGUCUGGGCUGAGGUCACCAGGGUUUGAUCCUGGGUCCUAAGCAGCUUCUCUACUGCAACCCAAGACAAGAAUCUUGGUUACUUCUAUUCUCAGAUUGACAGAGAUGGGAUAAUUUUGCUCCAUGCUGGAUGAAAGCAGCCCAGAAAUCUCUUACAUAAAGGUUGUCUGUGAUUAUUCUUGAUUUUCUUUUUUUUUUUUAAUAUCUCGCAUAUGGAGUAAUGUACUUCACUCUUAAGAGAGAAGUAGUAAUAUGUUUAUGGAUAUAAACCAACAGUGUGAUAAAGUUUGAUUGUACAAAAUUCAGUGGCAAGGUACACUUGAUUAUUUACUGCAGAGAGGACAGAGUCAAAGAACUGUCAGGGAAACCCUCCUGUUGAGUCAUGAGAUUCAGAAGAGAAUGCCUUGCAUUCUAAACUCCUCCUUAGAGUGGGGUUUAGAUGCAACUAGAUCCAGACUUAGUCCCAGACUUGGGCAAUGGUUUAUGUCUAAAGGAUUAUAUGUGCCCAGCCAAUCCUUUAAAUCACUUAGCUAAGAUUUUGUAGUCUAAUUCCCAAUUCACUACCGAGUAUCUGAUGUGAUAAGGAUCCUCUUGGUCUCAAGGUGCAACCCUAACUGUGGUUCAAGUACUGAUAGAUAAUAAUCAGAGGACAUUG